AUGACUUGGGGCUAGGGGUGAAAGGCCAAUCAAAUUCCGUGAUAGCUGGUUCUCUCCGAAAUGCAUUUAGGUGCAGCGUCGGAUCGAUUACAUCCGGGGGGUAGAGCGACUGGAUGCUUGCGGGCCCAUAUCGGGUACCAACAGCAACCAAACUCCGAAUACCCGUGAUGCGUAUCCCGGCAGUGAGUCGGCGGGGGAUAAGCUCCGUCGUCGAAAGGGAAACAGCCCAGAUCGUCGUCUAAGGUCCCCAAGCGUGUGCUAAGUGGGAAAGGAUGUGGAGUCGCAUAGACAGCCAGGAGGUUGGCUCAGAAGCAGCCACCCUUGAAAGAGUGCGUAACAGCUCACUGGUCUAGUGGUUCCGCGCCGACAAUGUAGCGGGGCUCAAGCACACCACCGAAGACGCGGCAGUAGCUUUGCUACUGGGUAGGAGAGCGUCCCAUGCGGGGCGAAGCGGCGGCGCAAGCCCGCCGUGGACUGCAUGGGAGUGAGAAUGCAGACAUGAGUAGCGAAAGACGGGUGAAGAUCCCGUCCGCUGGACGACCAAGGGUUCCAGGGCCACGUUCAUCGUCCCUGGGUGAGUCGGGUCCUAAGGCGAGGCCGACAGGCGUAGUCGAAUGGAUGAACGGGUCGAUAUUCCCGUACCGGCAUGCAACCGACAAAACCGAAUCCGCGAGUACUAACCUCCGGGUCCGGGCUUACGUCUCCUUCGGGAGCCGGAUGCCCUGGCCUGUUGGGACCGUAACGGUAGUAGGUCAGCGCGGGAGUGACGCAGAAGGGUAGCCGGCCGCGGAGGUGGUCUUCCGUGGUCAAGCACGCAGCCCGUCCCACAGGCAAAUCCGUGGGGCGCGUGGGCGAGGUGCGAUGAUGGGCGCCGCAGGGCGCGAUAUCCGGUGAUCCCGGCUGCCGAGAAAAGCUUCGGCGUGAGGCGGCGUGCCGCCCGUACCCCAAACCGACACUGGUGGUCAGGUAGAGAAUACCAAAGCGAUCGAGCGAAUCCUGGUCAAGGAACUCGGCAAAUCACUCCCGUUCCUUCGGUUUAAGGGAGACCCCCGAUGGUGAAGCGGCUUGCCCGUGGAGCUUUUGGGGGUGGCACAGACCAGGGGGUAGCGACUGUUUACCAAAAACACAGGAGCGUGCGAAGGCGCAAGCCGCUGUAUACGCUCUGACGCCUGCCCGGUGCCGGAAGGUUAAGAGGAUCCGUCAGGCCUCGGCCGAAGCGGUGAAUUCAAGCCCCGGUAAACGGCGGUGGUAACUAUAACCAUCCUAAGGUAGCGAAAUUCCUUGUCGGGUAAGUUCCGACCUGCACGAAUGGCGUAACGACUUCCCCACUGUCUCGACCAGGAGCUCGGCGAAAUUGCAGUACGAGUAAAGAUGCUCGUUAAGCGCAGAAGGACGAAAAGACCCCGGGACCUUUACUAUACCUUGGUAUUGGCAUUCGGUGUGGAUUGUGUAGCAUAGGCGGAAGGCUUCGAAGCCACGGCGCCAGCCGCGGUGGAGCCGCAAGGUGAAAUACCGCUCUGUUCGCAUUGGAUGUCUAACCUCGACCAGUCAUCCUGGUCAGGGACAGUGCCUGGCGGGUAGUUUAACUGGGGCGGUUGCCUCCCAAAGAGUAACGGAGGCGCUCAAAGGUUCCCUCAGCCCGGUUGGCAAUCGGGUGGCGAGUGUAAGUGCACAAGGGAGCUUGACUGCGAGACUGACGGGUCGAGCAGGGACGAAAGUCGGAACUAGUGAUCCGGUGCCGGUGUACGGACGCGGCAUCGCUCAACGGAUAAAAGGUACCCCGGGGAUAACAGGCUGAUCAUUCCCAAGAGU
Molecule: ribosomal RNA, 1812 nt
Filed under: human gut metagenome
Description: bacterial LSU rRNA
Rfam family: Bacterial large subunit ribosomal RNA
Source: RNAcentral